RNAcentral lists this long non-coding RNA (2401 nucleotides) under Ananas comosus (pineapple). RNAcentral's name for it is "long non-coding RNA (ACOM_LNC027782)". The record is from RNAcentral. Lineage: Eukaryota; Viridiplantae; Streptophyta; Magnoliopsida; Poales; Bromeliaceae.
GAGCUUGAGGAAACUAUGCGGAGAGAGUAUCCGCAUCUAUUUGAGUCGACAAGUUAAGGUAUGUAUAAUUUCGCGGACGAAAUUAUUUUAAGGGGUGGAGAAUGUAAUAUACCGAAAAUUCGAAAAAUAAAUAUCGAACUUUAGUUAAAUUGACCAAAGUGCGAGGUUGGUACACUUCGAAAAGUCCGAAGAUGUUAAAAUGAUCAAAAGUGCAUUGUGGGAGAUUUCCAAGAGCUAAAGGAUCAAAAAUUUGCAAACUGCAGUUUUGAGCUCUCGGGGACCGGUCCCUGGUGGGAGAGACCAGUCCCCGAAUGCGUGAAAAUUGAGAAGGCUGAAAAAUUUGCUAAGUCCCUGAGAUCAGGCUCUCGGGAACCGGUCCCUGCUGGGGAGAUCGGUCCCCGAGAGACCGGUCCCCCAGAGAGAGACCGGUCGCAUUGUGCGGGAGCCCUCGCUGCCCGCAGGGAGGAGCUACGGGAAUCGGUCCCUGGUCGGGGAGACCGGUCCCCGCACACGAAAUCUGCCCAGUUUGGGCAGUUUAAUAAAGUGAAAGUUAAGGGGCUUAUUUGCAAUUAUGCAUUAUAUGGGUUAUAUUGAGGGCUAAGAGGGCUUGUUCCUCUCAUUCUCUCCUUCACACUCUCUCUCUUCUCUCUCUUUCUCUCUCUAGAAGACAAGAAGGAGAAGAAAAGACAAGGAAAAGAAAGAAAAGAAAAAGGAAAAGAGGAAGAAGAAAAGGAGAAAGAAGGUGAAAAAGGAGCUAAGGAGUGAAGCUAUCUCCUCUUCUUCCCCUUCGGAGCAACAUAGGAGCAAGCUUAGAGGUAAGCUUGAACCUUAUUUAUGGUAAAACCCUAGAAUGUGAACUAGUUGACCUAAAAAUGGUUUUAGUUGAACCUAAUAAGUGUUUCAAGCUUUAUUUUGCUUGUUAAUAAGAUCAACACUAUGGGUUGGGUGUGGGUGGUGAAGCUUGAAGGAGAGCUUCAACCCCUCUCAUAGUAGAAUCCAAACUAGGGUUUGGAUUGAGCCAAAGAUGGUUUUUGUGGAGUCUUUAGAGUAGAAUGAAGCUUCUUUUGCUUCCCAAUGAGAUCAAACCCUAGGUUUGAUGUAUGCUAUAGAGCUAGGGCACCCAAAUUGGGGCUUUUGCUUGCGAGGGUUCUAAAAUAUAAUUGACCCUCUAGAAACCUAAUUGGGGAUAUUUCCGACGCGUUGGUGCGCUCGGAUUAACGUUACGAAAGUUAUGGCCAAAUAAGCCUAAUUUGGCUUCGUUAACUCGCAGGUAGCGAACCGGGUGUCUAAAAAUCCCAAGAAAAUUGUCGGAACACCUAAGUAAGCCUACAAGGUGGGUAGUGCUAUCCAAGCUCGUUGAACUUCCUUCUAUGCCUAAUGUGUGAUUCAAUUGAGCAUAUGUUAUAUACAUCGUUGCAUGCAUCGUAGGGUAUAUGUAAUGAGAAUAAUGUAAUGUUGCAUGUUGUGAAUACAACUUGCCUAAUGAGAUGGUUGAGAACCCCUGUGAAUGUUUAACCCUAUAUGUAUGCAUGAGAUAAAAUGUGAGCACCCAACUGAGACAAAAGAACAAAGUGACACAAUGAGCAUAGAUCGAGUGGCAUUCGAAAGUAUAGCGAUGGUGCCAUUUGAGGCACUAUAUGGAUGUAAGUGUCGUUUUCCUAGUCAUUGGAGCGACGUGGGGGAGAGAACGGCUCUUGGCCCUGACGUAGUGCGAGAGGCGGAGGAGAAAGUCCGCCUUGCCCGUCAACGGUUAGCGACGGCGCAAUCUCGGCAAAAGAGUUAUGCCGACAAGCGAAGAAAAGAUUUAGAGUUCGCGGUUGGAGACCGCGUAUUUUUGAGAGUAUCGCCGAUACGAGGGGUAAAGCGGUUUUGGGUCCGCGGGAAGCUAAGUCCCUGUUAUGUCGGACCAUUUGAGAUAUUGGAGCGUGUGGGUGCGGUAGCGUACAAGCUCGCACUACCACCGAGACUCGCGGGAGUUCACAAUGUUUUCCAUGUGUCAAAUCUCCGAAAGUAUAUUCGCAACUCGACACAUGUAUUGGAGUACGAGCCCGUGGAGUUACGUGAGGAUAUGUCUUACGAGGAGUACCCGGUGUGCAUCCUCGAUUGAGAAGAAAGAAAACUGCGGAGUCGCAGAAUUCCAUAUGUGAAGGUCCAAUGAAGCAACCAUGCGGUGGCGAGAAGCCACUUAGGAGCUUGAGGAAACUAUGCGGAGAGAGUAUCCGCAUCUAUUUGAGUCGACAAGUUAAGGUAUGUAUAAUUUCGCGGACGAAAUUAUUUUAAGGGGUGGAGAAUGUAAUAUACCGAAAAUUCGAAAAAUAAAUAUCGAACUUUAGUUAAAUUGACCAAAGUGCGAGGUUGGUACACUUCGAAAAGUCCGAAGAUGUUAAAAUGAUCAAAAGUG